Molecule: transfer RNA, 76 nt
Filed under: bacterium
Lineage: Bacteria
Description: tRNA-Ala
Rfam family: tRNA
About the family: Transfer RNA (tRNA) molecules are approximately 80 nucleotides in length. Their secondary structure includes four short double-helical elements and three loops (D, anti-codon, and T loops).
Source: RNAcentral
GGGCCAUUAGCUCAUUUGGUAGAGCGCCGCCUUUGCAAGGCGGAGGCGACCGGUUCGAAUCCGGUAUGGUCCACCA